Molecule: transfer RNA, 83 nt
Filed under: Streptomyces goshikiensis
Lineage: Bacteria; Bacillati; Actinomycetota; Actinomycetes; Kitasatosporales; Streptomycetaceae
Description: tRNA-Arg
Source: RNAcentral
CCGGGGCGGCGAGCAGGAUCAGGGUCGCCUGCGGGGCGGCCUCCCCGGUGGCGCGUACGAGGUCGCGUCCCACGCCCCGGCCC